UGUGAAAGUGUAAAUAACUUCACCAAUAAAAGCUGGGUAAAACCGGUGCCAGCCGCCCCGGUAACACCGGCAGCUCGAGUGGUGAUCACUAUUAUUGGGCCUAAAGCGCCCGUAACCUGUUUGGUAAGUCCUUGGGCAAAUCCUGUCGCUUAACGGCAUGAAUUCUGAGGAUACUGUCUCACUUGAGGCCGAGAGAGGUCGGAGGUACUUCUGGGGUAGCGGUGAAAUGCUAUAAUCCUAGAGGGACCACCGGUGGCGAAGGCGUCCGACUAGAGCGGGCCUGAUUGUAAGGGACGAAAGCCAGGGGAGCGAACGGGAUUAGAUACCCCGGUAGUCCCUGGCCGUACACGCUGUGGGCUAGGUGUUGCAUGCUCUACGAGGGCGUGCAGUGCCGAAGAGAAGUUGAUAAGCCUACCGCCUGGGAAGUACUAUCGCAAGAUAGAAACUUAAAGGAAUUGGCGGGGGAGCACCACAAGGGGUGAAGUCUGCGGUUCAAUUGGAUUCAACGCCGGAAAUCUCACUGGAAGCGACGGCAGAAUGACAGCCAAGCUGAUGACUUUGCUUGACGAGCCGAGAGGAGGUGCAUGGCCGUCGUCAGCUCGUACCGUAAGGCGUCCUGUUAAGUCAGGCAACGAGCGAGACCCGUGCCCUUAUUUGACAGCUAGUCCCUGCGGGGACUAAGACCCAUUAAGGGAACCGCUGCUGAUAAAGCAGAGGAAGGAGCGAGCAACGAUAGGUCAGUAUGCCCCGAAUCCUCCAGGCUACACGCGGACUGCAAUGGCUAGUACAAUGGGUCCCAACUCCGAAAGGAGAAGGAAAUCCCAAAAGCUAGUCUUAGUUCGGAUUGUGGGCUGUAACUCGCCCACAUGAAGCCGGAAUCCCUAGUAAUCGCGUGUCAUUAUCGCGCGGUGAAUACGUCCCUGCUCCUUGCACACACCGCCCGUCACACCAC
Molecule: ribosomal RNA, 952 nt
Filed under: uncultured archaeon
Lineage: Archaea
Description: bacterial SSU rRNA
Rfam family: Archaeal small subunit ribosomal RNA
Source: RNAcentral